GUUGUUUUACAAAAAGCUUCAGAGCGGAAGUUACAUCAAGCCUUUUCCGUUUCCACCAUCUUGAAAAUACAAAAAUGGGACCCCGAAGAGGACAAGUGAAAAAAGAAGAGGCCGUUUCUUUGGGACCUCAAGUUAUGGAAGGUGAAAACGUCUUUGGCGUUGCUCACAUUUUCGCUAGUUUCAAUGACACUUUUGUUCACGUCACGGAUUUGUCUGGCAAGUAAGUUCAUACUUAGAUGCUGCAAAAAACACUAUAAACGAGAAAUAUAUAUUUGGUAUCGUCAAUUUUUUCUUAGGGAAACAUUGGUUAGAAUAACCGGCGGUAUGAAAGUUAAAGCUGAUAGGGACGAAGCUUCGCCCUAUGCUGCUAUGCUGGCUGCUCAGGAUGUGGCUGAAAGAUGCAAACAGCUAGGAAUUACGGCUCUCCACAUCAAACUACGCGCUACUGGAGGUAACAAAACUAAAACUCCAGGACCCGGUGCACAAUCGGCUUUGAGAGCGCUUGCUAGAAGUGGUAUGAAAAUUGGUCGUAUCGAGGAUGUUACUCCGAUUCCAUCAGAUUGCACUAGAAGAAAGGGUGGUCGUCGUGGCAGAAGAUUAUAAGAACAUGUCAAUAAAAGUUGAAAAAAACUUAUUUUGUUCGGCAUCACGUUUUUCUUUGGAGAUACUAUGGCUGGAAUAAAAGCAGUGCAAAAUUGAUAUGAAAAGAUAUUUUGUAAAUUAUUUUUACUUAGUUAUAAACUAGCUAUUACUCACUAAUUAACAUAAGAUAUAUAGACUUAAGAGUAUUGUCAUUGGAUCUGAGUCAUUUUUUACAAGUCCUUAUAGUGAAUAACAUUUUAGGUACCAGGAGUCUGAUAACAAUGAAACAAAAUUUUAAGUUUAUAUCUAUAGAACAUUACACAAACUGUUUGUAACAAUUUUCUACUAGGUGACUGAGAUAAUAUUCUUGAAUUGAAUUAAUGUUCAUGGUUGAUGAAGGUAAUUGAAACCAUCAGAUCAACCUCAUACUACUGAUAUUUUCCUUAAAAUUUUCUUAUUGGAGGUUUUACCUUUUAAAAUGUGUAACAAAAUAUUAGUCCAGCAUGCAUCUUUCAGUAAUAUCGUAACUGUGCUCGUUAGCUGUAAAUAAUUUAUGAUUCUAAAGACCUACCCGAGAAGUGAAAUCGUUUUACACGGUUCACUUUUGUAUGUAAUAUGAUACGAUUGUUGUAUACUGAAAAUUAUGAUUAGAUGUAAAUUAUAAAGUUAAAAUGUUAUUCCACUGGCAUUAACAGUACUUUUUAACUUUAAUUUUAAGAACAAGUUUCAACUAAAUUUCGUUGGUAUACUAAGUUCACCCCUUUUUUACUCAUCCAGAUAAAAUAGCAUUGUUUUAAAUAUGAUGUAUAUUACAGUAUAAACUUAUACCUUUUUAAGAUUUUUAAAACCUUCCUGAUAGCAGAUAAAGUCUAUUUCUUAUUCCUAUAAAAAACACUUCAGUUACCGAUGUGCUUGGACCAACUAUACAGCUGAAAAAAUAACUGGCAGGAAUAAUUUGCUGUAAUAAAUUUCUUUUUUAAUUACAAAAUACCCUUCUCAAGACGAUAAAAGUUAUACGAUAAUAUUGCCGGAUAUAAGGAGUAAUAAAAUAAAUUGCUUUGUACUGAAAGCAGUGUAAAAAACUUUACAUAAAUAUAUUAAUUUAAUGCUGAAGUUAACCAAUCAGCAUCAACCUUUUGAUUAUAAAGGGAAGAAAACAGAUAGCUAGGAACAUUUCAAGAGUCGAAUUAUUAAGUUACGAAUCUACAUAAGAGAAAAUGAAAUUUACUUCUCUUAUAGUUUUUUAUCUGCUCUUCGUGAUAACGGAUCAAUUUUCAGUGCGAAAGCUAGAAUCUGAAGGUAAUGGGCAUAUGUUUCAGAAAAUGUGUAACUUUUAAGAGAGUAUAAAUAAGAAAUCAGUGAUUGACAUAUAUUAAGGAAAAAAUUUUGGAAGUGAAUGAUCGUCUGCCUGAAGUAGUCAUAAAAUAAGAGAAAACACUUAAACAUAUUUAUGGUAUUUUAAGGUUAUAGCAAACAAAAGUUUAGUGCAAAAUGAAGUUAUAUUACUUUUUAUCUUAUCGAUCACAAACAAGUAAAAAGAAAAGUUAUUUAUAAUUUGAUACGUAUUUCAGCUCAACUUGCCGAUUAGUAUUUCUAUCAUUCUUUACUCUCAUCAAAUAAAUUAAAAAAUUAUUUUUUAGAAAUAUUAUGCUCCUCACAUCAUAGGUGUCAUUUCUAAAUGAAGAUUUGUUUACAAGAUCUUAUGGUUUGUUUCUCUCAACAGACAGUCCUUUAAUCAGUAUAAUAAAAAGGUCUAUCCGAGAAAACGAUGAUAGAAUGCUGAAUAAAAGAUUUGCUGAAGUUGUCCCAAGUGAGAUAGGAAGAUAUUAUCAAGGCAUCAUAUUUGGGUAUAAAAGAUCGUAUGGCCACACUCCGGAUAUGUCUAUGUGUUUAUUUCUCGGUUUAGAUGAAUGUAAGGACAAGGAUAACAAUGCGGGAUGAAGAUCGUUAAGUUUAGCAUUCGAUAAGCUUGUCUCUAUUUUCCUUUCCUGAUUUGACUUAAUUACUUAUGAAGCAAGAAAUUGCUUAACAAAAAUUUGUAUUAAUAUAUUCCCCUUUGUGUUCUUAAUUUAAUUUUCAUUAUGGUAUGAAAAAUCGUAAUCGAAAGAAACUGAUGAAGAAUCAAAGAUUAUAUAGUAUAACGUAUGUUAUGCACCAACAAAGUUAUUAGCUUUGGACAACCAAAGUAUAUACACCUAACAAUACUAAAUUAAAAAUUCUUUAAAAAGAAAAUGAUUAUGAUUUUGAUCGCUAUAUAUAUUAAAUCUAAAAAUAAAUGAAUCAAUGCGAUAGCCAUUGAUUAUUUCAUACUGUCA
Molecule: unclassified non-coding RNA, 2897 nt
Filed under: Dimorphilus gyrociliatus
Lineage: Eukaryota; Metazoa; Annelida; Polychaeta; Dinophilidae
Description: dgyrCDS4287
Source: RNAcentral